GAUGAGUGAUUUGGUCCAAUUUGUUCCAGACAGACUGCUUAAUGUUCUGAAUAUGGAGAAGGACCGCAGGGAGGCAGGACGAUAGGAAGGUGAACAAGCAAGCGUGCAAAGAAAAACAAACCAAGUGACAUUCAGACAGAGAAAUGAGGGUGUAAAUGCUUUCUGAGGUUAACCAGUUGUAAUAUUCCAGUUAUGAAAAUGAGUACGAACAAACGAAAACAAACAAACGAAAGGAAAGAAGCAAGCGAGCAAACGAUAAGAAACAAGCGAGCAAGUGAGAAGACAGAAGCAAACGAAAGGAAAGAAACAAGCGAGCAAAGGGGGGGGAAGAGACAAACGAAAAGAAGCAAAGGAAAGAAGCAAGUGAGCAAGUGAGAAGACAGAAGCAAUGAAAGGAAAGAAGCAAGCGAGCAAACGGGGGGAAAAGAUACAAACGAAAGGAAAGAAGCAAGCGAGCAAACGAAAAGAAACAAGCGAGCAAGUGAGAAGACAGAAGCAAACGAAAGGAAAGAAGCAAGCGAGCAAACGGGGGGGAAAGAUACAAACGAAAAGAAGCAAACGAAAGGAAAGAAACAGGCGGGCAAACGAAAGGAAAUAAGCAAGCGUGCAAACGGGGGGGGAGUGACAAACGAAAAGAAGCAAACGAAAGGAAAGAAGCAAGCGAGCAAACGAAAAGAAACAUGCAAGCAAACGAAAAGAAACAAGCGAGCAAGUGAGAAGACAGAAGCAAACGAAAGGAAAGAAACAAGCGAGCAAACGGGGGGGAAAGUGACAAACGAAAAGAAGCAAACGAAAGGAAAGAAAGAGGCGGGCAAACGAAAGGAAAGAAGCAAGCGUGCAAACGGGGGGGGGGAGUGACAAACGAAAAGAACAUGCGAGCAAACGAAAAGAAAGAAGCAAAUGAAAGGAACGAAGCAAGCGAGCAAACGGAAAAGAAGUAAACGAGCAAACAGAAGGAAAGAAGCGGAUGAAAGGAAAAGACAAGCGAGCAAACGAAAGGAAAAACAACAAAAGAAAAAGAAACCAAAAUAAGAGUGGAAAUUAUUUGCUAUGUUGCCCAUGCGUAAUAUUCCAGAUAUGAAAAUGAAAGAAAGAAACAAAUAAAUUUAAAAAAGGGGAAACAUUAUUUUUGUCAAAUUUAGUUUUAAUCAUAUGAAUGAAAUGAACGUGUGUGUAAGAGAGAUAGAGAGAGAGAGAGAGAGAGAGAAAUAAACCUCAGUGGAGGAGGAGUAGCAGAAACAUUCUCGGUGUACUCUCAGCUGGAAUCAGAAUGAUUAUUUUGCUUAUUUAACACAAGAACAGCAAAGAACGACAGAAGAUCACACGGCAUAAGACAUAACGAAUGUAUUAAUCUUCAAUGACGGUUGUUCUAGAUCAUUGAUCACGAACCCUG
Ictalurus punctatus (channel catfish) is the source of this 1393-nucleotide long non-coding RNA. NCBI's taxonomy places the organism in Eukaryota, Metazoa, Chordata, Actinopteri, Siluriformes, Ictaluridae. The record is from Ensembl.